GGWUACUAAGUCAAWGAAGAMMMAACAACUAGUUGACAUYGUUUAGGGCGUGGACUACCAGGGUAUCUAAUCCUGUUUGCUCCCCACGCUUUCGUGCAUGAGCGUCAGUAUUGGCCCAGGGGGCUGCCUUCGCCAUCGGUAUUCCUCCACAUCUCUACGCAUUUCACUGCUACACGUGGAAUUCUACCCCCCUCUGCCAUACUCUAGCCCGCCAGUCACAAAUGCAGUUCCCAGGUUAAGCCCGGGGAUUUCACAUCUGUCUUAGCGGACCGCCUGCGCACGCUUUACGCCCAGUAAUUCCGAUUAACGCUUGCACCCUACGUAUUACCGCGGCUGCUGGCACUUAGUUAGCCGGUGCUUAUUCUUCCGGUACCGUCAUCCUCCCGCCGUAUUAGGACAGAAGUUUUCUUUCCGGACAAAAGUGCUUUACAACCCGAAGSCUUCUUCACACACGCGGCAUUGCUGGAUCAGGCUUUCGCCCAUUGUCCAAAAUUCCCCACUGCUGCCUCCCGUAGAGNUCUGGGCCGUGUCUCAGUCCCAGUKUGGCUGGUCGUCCUCUCAGACCAGCUACAGAUCGUCG
Molecule: ribosomal RNA, 580 nt
Filed under: Burkholderia sp. 2Sp32
Lineage: Bacteria; Pseudomonadati; Pseudomonadota; Betaproteobacteria; Burkholderiales; Burkholderiaceae
Description: partial 16S ribosomal RNA
Source: RNAcentral